UACGUAGGGACCAAGCGUUGUCCGGAAUCAUUGGGCGCAAAGCGCGCGUAGGUGGCUUCGUAAGUCCGUUGUGAAAGUCAAAGGCUCAACCUUUGAAAGCCGAUGGAUACUGCGGAGCUAGAGUACGGAAGAGGCGAGUGGAAUUCCUGGUGUAGCGGUGGAAUGCGCAGAUAUCAGGAGGAACACCAAUAGCGAAGGCAGCUCGCUGGGACGUUACUGACACUGAGGCGCGAAAGCGUGGGGAGCGAACAGG
Molecule: ribosomal RNA, 253 nt
Filed under: uncultured bacterium
Lineage: Bacteria
Description: partial 16S ribosomal RNA
Rfam family: Bacterial small subunit ribosomal RNA
Source: RNAcentral